This 92-nucleotide transfer RNA is filed under the name Syntrophaceae bacterium PtaB.Bin038. Its description in RNAcentral is "tRNA-Sec". It matches the Rfam family "Selenocysteine transfer RNA". Lineage: Bacteria; Pseudomonadati; Thermodesulfobacteriota; Syntrophia; Syntrophales; Syntrophaceae. The record is from RNAcentral.
AGGGGCAAUGGUGCUGGGCACCCCGCGGACUUCAAAUCCGUCGGCCUCGUCUAAACAACGAGGAGGAGGUUCGAUUCCCCUUGCCCCUUCCA